This 1124-nucleotide long non-coding RNA is filed under the name Lactuca sativa (garden lettuce). Its description in RNAcentral is "long non-coding RNA (LSAT_LNC008128)". The record is from RNAcentral. Lineage: Eukaryota; Viridiplantae; Streptophyta; Magnoliopsida; Asterales; Asteraceae.
AAAUUAUAUUGAUAGGUAUGAUUUGACAUGGUGUUUUUCAGUUUAAUGUGUUCUUGAUUUAUCUAUGUUUCUCAUAUUGGAUCCAAUUUUAAAUGUCAAAAUUUAUAAGACUUGACUUAACUUAAAUAUUGAUUGGCUUAAAGUUGCAGCUUCAUCUGGAGAUAUGAGGAAAACUCUUGGUAUCUGCAGGUUGGCAUAUUCUCCAUUUUUUUUAAAAUUGUUUUAUUGCCUAAAAAGUCUCUCAAGGUUUCAUAUAUUUGGAUUAAACUGACGCUUUUAUCCUUGGUGUAUUUUUUUUCAAUGAUUUUCAAGUAAGAUACCCUUAGAUUACAAAGUUUGACAUUUUCAAAGUUAAGUUAUAAUAAACAAUCACUAUUCACAAAAUGUUUAACUUUUUUACUUAUUUUUCUUUAUUCUGGUUAGGAACCUUUACUGAAGGAUGUUUUUGGUGAUUGGAAUUGAUAGAGAGAUUGAGAAGGAAACAUGUUGCAUUUUCCUGCUGUAGAAUAUUUUCAGCCUUAAAGUUAAAAAUUUGAAGGCUCCCAUGGUUGGUAUUGACAAAUUGGAGGUAAACACUUUUUUACCAUCUCUUUUCAUUUUUGGUUGUUUUAUGUGCUGUUGUUGUGUGUUAGUGGUUAAGAAUGGUGUGGCCAUGUGUGUAUGUAUCCGACUAUUUGAUAUUUUUAUCUACUCUUCAACAUCAAAUAAGUUUUAAAAUACCAAAAGACUUAAAUAUAUUUUUUUAAAACUAUUUAUGUAUCAACACUUUUUGUGCUAGAAAAAAACUAAAAUAAUAUAUAUUUGUUGAAAUGUUAGUCUUAUUGUAACAAAAUGUUUUACCUUCGUUUGUCUGGUGCAGGUUAGAUGAGAGAGACUUUGUUAUUGAGUGGCUUUAUUGUCACAUUUGGAACGUAAGAGCACCAGCUUUGUUCAUUUCUACCUUCAAUGUUGUAUGUAACUUCAUUUUCAUAUUUGGAACUUAUGUAUAAACACUUAAUGCUGGACGCUUAUUGUUGGCCUGGUACAAAUAAGGUCAUCUAUUUUAACUUUACAUCAUCUAUUUAAUCAUAUAGUUAUGUAUAUAUUUGUUUUAUAGCAUAAAUUCAAAAUCAAAACAUGUAUAA